CUCAUCUUUUUAAGUGGGAGAACUUGCACAAUUGGUGGCUGACUAAAUACUUUUUUGCCCCACUGUAUUUACUUAGGCUACACUUUGCAGUAUGAAAUCAGCUGGUUUGUGUGUAGAAAUAUUAAUGCAAGAAUGUAUGUAUAUUACACUAUUGCAGAUGUAUUGUGUGUGUGUGUGUGUUAUGAGUGCAGAUAUAUACAAAUAUAAGAUGGACACUUUUGUUGAUCUAAAUACCUUGUAUUUUUGGACCACAGUAAUUCAAGGCGCUCUUUCCCGGUCUAUGCCAUUCCAAAUAUCCUCCAGCUCCUCUUCCUCCUCCUCAAACUGCCAAUGAUCAGGAUGAAUAUGAUCUGGUUCUCUUUUGGGUGAAGUUUCUUUUUCCAAUACCAUCAUUGGUGCGGAGCUGUCGGAGCACACGCAACAGUUGUCCUCAGAGCACACAAUGACUCGUCCAGACCUGCGCACACCCAUCCAUGUGGAGUCUUCAGACACAGUAGACAAGACAUUGAUCUCUACAACUCGAAGUGCACUUUGGAAAGUGAAUUGCCUCUUUGCAGAAGGGAAGUAUAUGUGGUUAUUGAGGUCUUGAAUCUUAGUGUGAACACUUAAACAGUUGUGCUUGUGGUUCUGUGACGGUUCAGUGCGGGUGUGGUCAUGCACCGAGCUGCUGCAGUUUGGUUCAGUGCGUUGCUUGAUCGAGUCCAAAAUGGCCACUGGAAUAGAAAUCUCAACCUUAUCCUCAUCGUGGAUACCAACAGUGCUGGAGAAAAUGUUCUCAUGUCCAGCAGCAAGGGCAGGACUCCUUGUGACGCAUCUUAGGUCGUGAUAGACGUCAUCUUUCUCAGGAAGCGAGAUACACUGAACCAAAAGAGAAACGGACUCUGCACUCACCUUCUGCGAGUCCUGCCUUGCUGUUUCGCAGCUCCUUUCCUCUUUUGGACUGAGGGUGAAAGUAUGACCAAUCACUUUGUGAGUCUGACUGAGUGUGUUUGAGUCUGCCAAUUUGUAUAGAUUCAAAGGUGAACCAUUCGGACUGUCAUGUUCCCCAUCAGCUUCAAGAUGCCUUUCCUUCUCUGGACUGAGGGCGAAAGUCUGUCCAAUUACUUUGGACGAUGCGUGAGUCUGACCGAGUGUGUUUGAGAUGUACAGAUUCAAAGGUGGACUGGCAUGGUCCCCAUUGGCUUCAGAAGGCACUUUCUCUGUUGUGAGGUCUUUUGCACCUAUCUGUGAGAUUUUCCCCCAAUCCUUGGGUAGGUCAAAGCUCAACAUCGACCCAAGGGGGAUAACGCCAUAGUGGCUCUUGUCUUGCCUAAUGGUGAUCUCAUUGGGCCCAUGCAAGAAAUGCCCCUGGAUGGUAGGAACGGUAGGAAUGCUUGACGUGUCUGAAGAGUUUCCAUCUAUGACACUCACCACAGAAUUAUUUUUGAUAUACAGUUGGAGUUCUGUAUUAACUGGACUCCCUUGUUUGGCAUGGCAUUCCUUCUUAUCCUCCAGUGGCCAGGUGUAGGCUCUGUGCGUGGCGCCGAUGGGCACGGUAGUAACCCCCUCCGGCUUGGGCAUUCCGACAAUGCCAGUCACAGUGUGCCUGUGUGUAAUUUUCUUCCUCCUCUUCAUCGGUCCCUUCAGGUUUAAGGUAGAGGUGGAACUGGUUCUGGGUAAGGUGGGGAGCAAGACAGUCCUGACUUGGGGUAUGAAAGUGGCGUUGGUUGAGCUUGUGGAAACGGUGGUCGACACGUGGCUCGUGUCUGUGAUAUGAGGCGAUGCCACCUCUUCAAAAACAGGACUUCCAUCUGUGACUUGCAGAUAGGUGCUCACCUGAAAAAGAUUUAGAUAAUUGGAUGUAUUAAAAUACAAAACUCUUCAAAAUGAGACUUUCAUUAUCCUUGAAGUUAAAUGCUUAUGCAACCAUGAUCAAAGACAUCUUAGAUUAAUUUACGAAGAACCAAUUUGAUACUCG
Long non-coding RNA from Oncorhynchus tshawytscha (Chinook salmon), 1957 nucleotides. Lineage: Eukaryota; Metazoa; Chordata; Actinopteri; Salmoniformes; Salmonidae. The record is from Ensembl.